RNAcentral lists this unclassified non-coding RNA (254 nucleotides) under uncultured Pleosporales. RNAcentral describes it as "sequence contains 5.8S rRNA gene, ITS2, 28S rRNA gene". The record is from RNAcentral. Lineage: Eukaryota; Fungi; Ascomycota; Dothideomycetes; Pleosporales.
AACGCACAUUGCGCCCCUUGGUAUUCCAUGGGGCAUGCCUGUUCGAGCGUCAUUUGUACCCUCAAGCUUUGCUUGGUGUUGGGCGUCUUGUCUGUUUCCUCUAGCGAUCAGACUCGCCUUAAAGUAAUUGGCAGCCAGUGUUUUUUGGUAGUAAGCGCAGCACAUUUUGCGUCUUAGUCCUUGAACAGCGGCAACCAUGAAGCCUCUUUCUCACUUUUGACCUCGGAUCAGGUAGGGAUACCCGCUGAACUUAA